Physeter macrocephalus (sperm whale) is the source of this 107-nucleotide small nuclear RNA. NCBI's taxonomy places the organism in Eukaryota, Metazoa, Chordata, Mammalia, Artiodactyla, Physeteridae. The record is from Ensembl.
GUGCUCGCUUCAGCAGCAUAAAUACUAAAAUUGGAACGGUACAGAGAAGAUUAGCACAGCUCCUAUGCAAGGAUGACAUGCAAAUUUGUGAAGCAUUCCAUAUUUUU